Long non-coding RNA from Coregonus clupeaformis (lake whitefish), 728 nucleotides. RefSeq lists it as uncharacterized. Lineage: Eukaryota; Metazoa; Chordata; Actinopteri; Salmoniformes; Salmonidae. The record is from RefSeq and is a predicted model, not a curated record. The transcript has 2 exons.
UCGGCUCAGACAUGUGUUAGGAACUGCAAAUCCCAUUAAUAUCCUAAUACUUGGUUUUGCAUUGUUCAGAGUUGUUGUUCAUGGUUUCUCUCUUUCAUUUCCUCCCUCCCUUAUUGGCUGGUGUGUAGUACCAUGAGCUGGCAGAGCAAAGUCCAGACUGCUCCGAAAGACUCAGCCACGAGCUCAAACAGGUUCUUCUGGCCUUGAUGACGCCAAGAAGAUCUACAACUACCGCCACUCAAGAGCCAGAAUAAUUUUAGAGAACUGCUUUGGGAUCCUUGCUGCAAGAUGGAGGAUCAAGAUGGAGAGGUUGCCUCAGAGAAAGCUGAAGCCAUUGUGAAGGCCUCCACAACUACCUUUGCACCACAGACACUGACAACAUAGUCAUCAACCCGGUACAUCCACCCCAUGUUUUUUGACCACUCCACACCCACUGGGGAUCUGUGUCCGGGAGAGUAGAGACAGGCGGUACAAGGGGACACCAGCUUCCUGGACCCAAAAAACAUGCCGGCAGACAGGGCAACAAGUUGCUAUAGACGUGCGCAACAACAAGGACUUCUUCCUCACACCAGCUGGUCAAAGUGUCUUUCCAGGAUGCUGCUAUCACGCAUAGCACCCUACAGAAAUGUUUGUCAUAUUGUGAGCUACACACUUGGUUUUGUUGUUUGGAAUUAGCUGUUUUUCUUAUUCACACUUUACAAAUCACAAUAAAGACUACCAUAAUGACA